UUCCGGUUGAUCCNGCCGGACUUGCUAUCGGGGUCCGACUAAACCAUGCGAGUCACGGGGGUGUCCCUCUGGGACACCACCGGCGGACGGCUCAGUAACACGUCGGUAACCUACCCUCGGGAGGGGGAUAACCCCGGGAAACUGGGGCUAAUCCCCCAUAGGCCUGAGGUACUGGAAGGUCCUCAGGCCGAAAGGGGCUUUUGCCCGCCCGAGGAUGGGCCGGCGGCCGAUUAGGUAGUUGGUGGGGUAACGGCCCACCAAGCCGAAGAUCGGUACGGGCUGUGAGAGCAGGAGCCCGGAGAUGGACACUGAGACACGGGUCCAGGCCCUACGGGGCGCAGCAGGCGCGAAACCUCCGCAAUGCGGGAAACCGCGACGGGGGGACCCCGAGUGCCGUGGCAUCGCCACGGCUUUUCCGGAGUGUAAAAAGCUCCGGGAAUAAGGGCUGGGCAAGGCCGGUGGCAGCCGCCGCGGUAAUACCGGCGGCCCGAGUGGUGGCCGCUAUUAUUGGGCCUAAAGCGUCCGUAGCCGGGCCCGUAAGUCCCUGGCGAAAUCCCACGGCUCAACCGUGGGGCUUGCUGGGGAUACUGCGGGCCUUGGGACCGGGAGAGGCGGGGGGUACCCCUGGGGUAGGGGUGAAAUCCUAUAAUCCCAGGGGGACCGCCAGUGGCGAAGGCGCCCCGCUGGAACGGGUCCGACGGUGAGGGACGAAGGCCAGGGGAGCAAACCGGAUUAGAUACCCGGGUAGUCCUGGCUGUAAAGGAUGCGGGCUAGGUGUCGGGCGAGCUUCGAGCUCGCCCGGUGCCGUAGGGAAGCCGUUAAGCCCGCCGCCUGGGGAGUACGGCCGCAAGGCUGAAACUUAAAGGAAUUGGCGGGGGAGCACUACAAGGGGUGGAGCGUGCGGUUUAAUUGGAUUCAACGCCCGGAACCUCACCGGGGGCGACGGCAGGAUGAAGGCCAGGCUGAAUCUUGCCGGACACGCCGAGAGGAGGUGCAUGGCCGCCGUCAGCUCGUACCGUGAGGCGUCCACUUAAGUGUGGUAACGAGCGAGACCCGCGCCCCCAGUUGCCAGCCCUUCCCGCUGGGAAGGGGGCACUCUGGGGGGACUGCCGGCGAUAAGCCGGAGGAAGGAGCGGGCGACGGUAGGUCAGUAUGCCCCGAAACCCCCGGGCUACACGCGCGCUACAAUGGGCGGGACAAUGGGAUCCGACCCCGAAAGGGGAAGGGAAUCCCCUAAACCCGCCCCCAGUUCGGAUCGCGGGCUCGAACUCGCCCGCGUGAAGCUGGAAUCCCUAGUACCCGCGUGUUAUCAUCGCGCGGCGAAU
RNAcentral lists this ribosomal RNA (1325 nucleotides) under Thermococcus aegaeus. Its description in RNAcentral is "bacterial SSU rRNA". It matches the Rfam family "Archaeal small subunit ribosomal RNA", at positions 1 to 1323 of the family's 1478-position model. Lineage: Archaea; Methanobacteriati; Methanobacteriota; Thermococci; Thermococcales; Thermococcaceae. The record is from RNAcentral.